UGGGGAAUUUUGGACAAUGGGCGAAAGCCUGAUCCAGCAAUGCCGCGUGUGUGAAGAAGGCCUUCGGGUUGUAAGCACUUUUGUCCGGAAAGAAAUCCUUGGCUCUAAUACAGUCGGGGGAUGACGGUACCGGAAGAAUAAGCACCGGCUAACUACGUGCCAGCAGCCGCGGUAAUACGUAGGGUGCAAGCGUUAAUCGGAAUUACUGGGCGUAAAGCGUGCGCAGGCGGUUUGCUAAGACCGAUGUGAAAUCCCCGGGCUCAACCUGGGAACUGCAUUGGUGACUGGCAGGCUAGAGUAUGGCAGAGGGGGGUAGAAUUCCACGUGUAGCAGUGAAAUGCGUAGAGAUGUGGAGGAAUACCGAUGGCGAAGGCAGCCCCCUGGGCCAAUACUGACGCUCAUGCACGAAAGCGUGGGGAGCAAACAGGAUUAGAUACCCUGGUAGUCCACGCCCUAAACGAUGUCAACUAGUUGUUGGGGAUUCAUUUCCUUAGUAACGUAGCUAACGCGUGAAGUUGACCGCCUGGGGAGUACGGUCGCAAGAUUAAAACUCAAAUGAAUUGACGGGGUCAUAGCUGUUUCCU
RNAcentral lists this ribosomal RNA (584 nucleotides) under uncultured bacterium. Its description in RNAcentral is "partial 16S ribosomal RNA". It matches the Rfam family "Bacterial small subunit ribosomal RNA", at positions 355 to 1375 of the family's 1533-position model. The record is from RNAcentral.